GCCGAAGUGAUGGAAUUGGUAGACGUAGCGGAUUCAAAAUCCGCCGAUAGCAAUAUCGUGUGGGUUCGAUUCCCACCUUCGGCACCA
This 87-nucleotide transfer RNA is filed under the name Succinivibrionaceae bacterium. RNAcentral's name for it is "tRNA-Leu". It matches the Rfam family "tRNA". Rfam says of the family: Transfer RNA (tRNA) molecules are approximately 80 nucleotides in length. The record is from RNAcentral. RNAcentral also lists the same sequence under 1 other name. Lineage: Bacteria; Pseudomonadati; Pseudomonadota; Gammaproteobacteria; Aeromonadales; Succinivibrionaceae.